RNAcentral lists this ribosomal RNA (453 nucleotides) under uncultured bacterium. RNAcentral describes it as "bacterial SSU rRNA". It matches the Rfam family "Bacterial small subunit ribosomal RNA", at positions 340 to 786 of the family's 1533-position model. The record is from RNAcentral.
UACGGAAGGCAGCAGUGGGGAAUAUUGCACAAUGGGCGCAAGCCUGAUGCAGCCAUGCCGCGUGUAUGAAGAAGGCCUUCGGGUUGUAAAGUACUUUCAGUCGUGAGGAAGGUGUUAAGGUUAAUAACCUUAGCAAUUGACGUUAGCGACAGAAGAAGCACCGGCUAACUCCGUGCCAGCAGCCGCGGUAAUACGGAGGGUGCGAGCGUUAAUCGGAAUUACUGGGCGUAAAGGGCACGCAGGCGGUUAAUUAAGUUGGAUGUGAAAUCCCCGGGCUUAACCUGGGAAUGGCAUUCAAGACUGGUUAGCUAGAGUCUUGUAGAGGGGGUAGAAUUCCAUGUGUAGCGGUGAAAUGCGUAGAGAUGUGAGGAAUACCGGUGGCGAAGGCGGCCCCUGGGACAAAGACUGACGCUCAUGUGCGAAAGCGUGGGGAGCAAACAGGGAUUAGAUACC